GACGAACGCUGGCGGCGUGCCUAACACAUGCAAGUCGAACGGAAAGGCACUGCUUGUGUGGGGUGAUCGAGUGGGGAACGGGGGAGUGACACGUGUGUAACCUGACCUAGACUUUGGGAUAACUUCAGGAAACGGGGGCUAAUACCGGAUAGGAGAUCCUGCUGCGUGGUGGGGGUUGGAACGUUUCUGCGGGUGGGGAUGGACGCGCGGCUUAUCAGCUUGUUGGUGGGGGAGGGGCUGACCCAGGCAUUGACGGGUCGGCGGCCUGAGAGGGUGACCGGCCACAAGGGUACUGCGGGACGGACCAGACGCCUACGGGAGGCAGCAGUGGGGAGUAUUGCACAACGGGCGCAAGCGUGAUACAGCGACGCUGCGUUCGGGAUGACGGCCUGCUGGUUGUAAACCGCUGUAGCUUGUGACGCCGCGUGAGUGACGGUAAUGGGUGAAUAAGCACCGGCUAACUACGUG
RNAcentral lists this ribosomal RNA (468 nucleotides) under uncultured bacterium. RNAcentral describes it as "partial 16S ribosomal RNA". It matches the Rfam family "Bacterial small subunit ribosomal RNA", at positions 28 to 507 of the family's 1533-position model. The record is from RNAcentral.